CCUACGGGAGGCAGCAGUGGGGAAUUUUGGACAAUGGGCGCAAGCCUGAUCCAGCAAUGCCGCGUGCAGGAUGAAGGCCUUCGGGUUGUAAACUGCUUUUGUACGGAACGAAACGGCUCCUAUUAAUACUGGGGGCUAAUGACGGUACCGUAAGAAUAAGCACCGGCUAACUACGUGCCAGCAGCCGCGGUAAUACGUAGGGUGCGAGCGUUAAUCGGAAUUACUGGGCGUAAAGCGUGCGCAGGCGGUUAUAUAAGACAGAUGUGAAAUCCCCGGGCUCAACCUGGGACCUGCAUUUGUGACUGUAUAGCUAGAGUACGGUAGAGGGGGAUGGAAUUCCGCGUGUAGCAGUGAAAUGCGUAGAUAUGCGGAGGAACACCGAUGGCGAAGGCAAUCCCCUGGACCUGUACUGACGCUCAUGCACGAAAGCGUGGGGAGCAAACAGGAUUAGAUACCCUGGUAGUCCACGCCCUAAACGAUGUCAACUGGUUGUUGGGUCUUCACUGACUCAGUAACGAAGCUAACGCGNGAGUGACGCGNGGNGCGGCGCGAGUAGAACGACAAGAGUAGUAGCGNGNGAGAGCGACGACGACGACGAGGAGGGAGGAG
Molecule: ribosomal RNA, 609 nt
Filed under: uncultured bacterium
Lineage: Bacteria
Description: bacterial SSU rRNA
Rfam family: Bacterial small subunit ribosomal RNA (bases 1-539)
Source: RNAcentral